Rhipicephalus sanguineus (brown dog tick) is the source of this 577-nucleotide long non-coding RNA. RefSeq lists it as uncharacterized. The record is from RefSeq and is a predicted model, not a curated record. NCBI's taxonomy places the organism in Eukaryota, Metazoa, Arthropoda, Arachnida, Ixodida, Ixodidae. The transcript has 4 exons.
CAGUCAAUUUUCCUUUUCGGUAUACCCUCUAGAAAUACCCGACUUCGUUCACGAAAUGGAAUUGGAGCUGUUCCCUUCGGUAAGAGGACUACAAAAAGCCAACUUGAUGAAUAUAAAAAGACAAGAGGAGUGCCGAAAGUGCCAGAAAAAUUUAGAAAAGGAGAGGCUAGAAUUUUGGACAGCAAAUUGCCGUAGUGGUGGCGACAGCGCCACACUACCCAGCUGAGGAACUUAGAGUAUGUUGGAAAUCUGCUGAAUGCAACGAUGAAAGGAUCUAACAAUUCAGAAUAAUAUGGCCACCAGUUCCCGAUUUAAGCGGGCCGCUUGUGUUCAAGCAAUAAGGAAAGCGAGGGACACCGAUAAAACGAGGAAAUGGCUUGAUCGAACAGGCCACGAUAAGAUUCUUCCCGAAUCCUGGCUCAAUUCAUAAGUGGCCCCUGCAAUUAUAGCGAUUGAUUCAAGUCUAGAUAAGCGCCUGCGCAUGCACAGUGCGCGACAUCGUUGUUUCAGUACUCUACGAAAACUGCUCGUCUGUUCCUUACAGCGCAUUUUGUAAUAAAAUAUCGUAAAAAAGUAU